CUCUGUGGAAGACACACUACGGUAACUGAGAGGAAAAUCAAGAGCUAUAAUUGAAUGACACCAAAGUGAUUACUAUAAUAUACAUAAUUUCACUGUGAUUAUCCAUUUUUCUUUUGUCACUGUUGUGAUGUCACAGUUUUGAACACAGCCUGAGGUCCCCCCAGACAAAACUGGUUGGGAUAAGAAGCUAAUAGGACUAUAGCCUCAGCCAAAGCUCUGCCCACAGCAGCCCUGAUUGGUGGAUUGCCUGGCUCCACUGGUUGGUCCAACCGCGCUAUUUAGGCCAGAAGAUGGGACAGGAAGUUUCUCUCAGCUACAAGUUGACUCUGGUGCAGACCCUUGGCUUCAUUCUCCAACUGGAUGCCUGCUCUGCCCACUACAUUUGACUCCAGCUCUGACUACUGGCCCAGACCACCUACAUACUCAUCCAUGGCAACUCUAAGGUAGCGAACAACUCUGCAGACAAGAUCAGGGGCCAUGAAAUCACCUGUGAAGCGCCAAAUUAUAUCAGUCAGUAUAUUUAUGAAUCCUGUAAAACAAUCUGCAGAC
Long non-coding RNA from Mauremys mutica (yellowpond turtle), 549 nucleotides. RefSeq lists it as uncharacterized. The record is from RefSeq and is a predicted model, not a curated record. The transcript has 3 exons. Lineage: Eukaryota; Metazoa; Chordata; Testudines; Geoemydidae.